CCUGCUUGGGGAGGAGGGGUUCUGAGCUUAUAAAAAGAUGGAACUGACAGCACAAACUGGAAGAGAUGCAGAACAACACAGAUGGAUGGACACUCCUACAAAUUGCUCUUUAGACUUUCACGGGGCUGGGGGAAACAAAUCUCAUCAUGCUGAUGGCAAGAGCCUGCGGAGACCACGACAGUCACUUGUAGAGCAAAUUGAAGUUGUCCGCGCACACAGCAUGCAUAGGAAGAUGAAAUCACCAUGGUGGUGGAGUAUGCACAGCACACAAGAGAGUGCCAAGUCUCAUUUCACUUGUCGCGGAUCACAGGGGAUUGCUGGGCUCAUCGGAGACAGCAGGCAGCACUGAUUCCAUCUUCUCUCAAGAACACCGCCUUGCAAGCAAUGUGACCGGAAUGUUGCAACAGGGAAGUUAAUUACUAGAAGUGAUAAGGUAUUAUCUCACCACAAAGGCAAGGUGUAUAGGCAAAUAAUUUCUAAAUAAGAAGCAUUUACAGUGUUUAGCUUUUGCAUAUGGAGAGAUGUGUAAUAUCAGUUAAACUACAACGGGGGUAUGCCACUAGCUCAUCUAAUAUGAUCCACCCUUUAAUAUAUUCUCACCAUCACUUGCACAGCACAUGCACUGUUGUAAUGUGUUUCUCAGGACUGUACAGCAAUGUGGCAAUGAAUUCUGAAGCUUACCCUCACUGGAAGCUGUGAAGAAUUAAAUUGAGAUAUGGGAUUUGGCAUGUAUUUCCACCACGGUACAAUAAAAG
RNAcentral lists this long non-coding RNA (755 nucleotides) under Lepisosteus oculatus (spotted gar). RNAcentral's name for it is "lncRNA (ENSLOCG00000022210.1)". Lineage: Eukaryota; Metazoa; Chordata; Actinopteri; Semionotiformes; Lepisosteidae. The record is from RNAcentral.